Molecule: long non-coding RNA, 3306 nt
Organism: Amaranthus tricolor (Joseph's coat)
Lineage: Eukaryota; Viridiplantae; Streptophyta; Magnoliopsida; Caryophyllales; Amaranthaceae
Exons: 6
Source: RefSeq, a predicted model, not a curated record
GUGACAUUUUUCAGUUUUCACGAUCAUCUACAAGAAAAUUUUAUCCUUCUUCUCUUGCGGUAUUCUCUAUUCUACGCGAACUGUUCACUUUAGUUGAUUACAAAGUGACUUCACCUAAUCUGUAGAAUCAUGGCCAGUCAACAUCUCAAUAGCGUGACUUCACCUACAACCUUCUGUUCGAUUAUUCAAUAUCUUGAUGAUCAGAUAGGCGUUUGGAGUUAUGGAUGCAUCUCAUUGUACCUGAUUUCUUCCUUGGGAAACGCACAAUUUUUCUUUAUUGUCACGAACAUACUCUGUAGACCAAAGAUGUUAACUCUAUCAUGCAUUCCUUCCAACUUCUGUAUGAUAUUUAUUUUUUCUACACCCAAUAUUUUUCUUAAGAAGUUAACCAUCUACUCUGGGAACAAAAAAGCUGAAUAUCAAAUGGAGCAUUCCAAGAAUCAAACUCAAGACCUUCCGCACCCAAAGCAAGAAUCAUAACACUAGAACAAAUGCCCGGUUGUGUAUUUGUUUUGUAAAUUAAUGGUUUUUAGCAGUCUUAAGCAACCGGAUGGAAGUUUGAAGUUAUGGCUGCAUCUAGCUGUACCUGAUUUCGUCUGUGCAAUGAGUGGCACACAAAAAUUUUGUUCCUGUCGCCCACAUACUCAGUAGAUCUAUGCUGGUUACUAGGAGAAAUUUGCAAGCAGCUCCCUUAAUGAAGUGAACCCUCUGCACUCCAACAGGAUGCGAAUUGGAGAGCAAUUUAGAGUUCAAGUUUUAUUAAAUCGAUGAGCCAGUAUAUUGUUUCACACAUUCAAAAUUGACAAAUCAAAGGAGUUGAGAAGAUAGUCUGAUCCAGGUUCAAGAGUAAUAUAGCGCCAAGGCAUUUCUCUAUUCCUAAUGGCUGGUCUACAUUUUUCAUGUGCUUUUCUUAAUGUGCUGUAAAUUACUAUGUUUUUAUAUUGCAUGUGAUUGUGUAAGAUCCAACAUCUUAUGGAUCUUUUUGAACUUUUGACGUUCAAUAUAAGUCUACUGUAUUUAGUCACCUCACUGAUUGUAAUGUUGUAUUGCCACACACCACAUCUUUGGUUGAGAUCUUUGAAAUUCUUCAUAACAAUGAGAAUCGGGUGAAAAACCUUACUGGACCAUUUCUGGCAGUCUUUGUUGAGGCUUCUGCCUGUAUGGUGCUGAGAAUUUUACCCUGUGGUGAAAAUUUUGUGGAAACUUGAAAGGUAUCAGAUCAAUCGGUGUUAAGGUUUUUGGCUGCAAUCCUAAGUACAAAUGAUUCUAUCAUUUCCUUGAUGGAUGCUCUUUAUUUCUUAAUGCUUUCUACUAUACAUGAUAAAUAUUUACUUUGCUUUGAGUUUUUCAGCCAUCCAGUGAAGAAAUGAAGAAGAUAGAUCUACAAGUGGUUAGGCAGUAUCGUAGUUCCAAGCAGAGACUGUAGAGGUUUGCUACAUCAAAAUUUUCCCCAGUUUGUUUAGAAACUUCUGGAUUCAGAGAUAAACUACAAUCUGCUUGUGUCGACUCCGGUAGAGAGAGAAAAACUUCAAGAUACUUUCAAUAUAUCAAUUAGAGAAUCCGUACAAGCAAGGGGUAGAGGAAAUUAAUUCUCCUAGUACGUGGUGAGAAUUAAACCUUAGUCACUAGGGUGAAAGAGAAAGCACUCAACCACUAGACUAACCGAUGAUUCUCAAGAUAGUCGAGGAUCUUAAAGAUUGUUGUGAACCACUGAACCCUAUAAUAUGGGUCAUAAAGGUGACAGUUAGACUGUUACAGUGGUGUGCUUCUGAUAUCAGUGCUACAAAAGAUCUGCUUCUGAUUGAUGGUAUUAUAAUGCUUUUUUGAGCAUUCAAGUGACAGUGAUAAAUGUCAACGUCUAAAAUAUUGUUCUGGCUGCUGAUGUAAUAAGUUGCUGAUGUCAUUUUUUGACUUGUAAUGAUCAUGAAAUUAUAUUAUAUGGAGUAUUAGAUAUUUGUUGUCCAAUGAAUAAUGGAGUAAAAAAGAAAAGUUUGACCAGAAUAGGAGAAGAAAAUUCAAAUGGAACAGUGAUGAUGUAGAUAACAUCUUACUUUUCUUCCUUUAGAAAUGAAUAACUCCCUAUAAAGAUAAGGAGCUUUCCUAGAGCAUUAUAGUUGAUUCUAAAAGCUACAAAAAAGCCCUGAAAUGGAAAUACUGACAGCAAGCUCUGUUGUGAUAUCAGUAGUCUGUAUAGUAGCUGUGACAGGGUUUAUAAGAGUUGUGAACUGGGUUCGGUUGAGGCCAAAAGGAUGGAAAGGUUUCUUAGACAACAAGGUAUUUAUGGUACUUCAUACAAGCUCUUGUUUGGAGAUCUCAAAGAUAUGUCUUCUAUGCGCACUCAGGCCUUAAAAACUCUCAUGAAUGGCUUCUCUAAUGAUUAUUUUCCGCGUGUGGAUCCUUUUCGUCAUCAGCUUAUCACCAAUUUUGAGGUUGAAUCCACAUGAUAAGUAGUAAAGGAGUUUGGCUGGACAAGAAACUACAUCGACACUUUUGGGUUGGACGUUGAUUUUAUUAAGCAAGCAUCAAGAUUGGCAAGCAUGAGCACGGAAUGAAGUCAUGCAAACAUUUGGAAGUAAUGUGCCAGAUUUUGAAGGUGUGAGCCAUUUAAAGACAGUAUCGGCCCGUUUGGUGACCAUGAUAUUGUAUGAAGUCCCCAGACUCUAUCAAGAAGAGUUUGCAAGGAUACAAAUCUUGGUGCAUUCUCAGUUCCUAAGGAUGCAAUAAUUGUUUUCUCAUUGCAAUCUAUUCACCAAGAUCUGGAUAUUUGGGGCGAUGCCAGAGAGGUUUGCCGAUGGGAUUUCCAAGGCGAGCAAUGGGAAUAACACGUUUUUCCCCUUUGGUUAGGGACCAAUAAUAUGUGGGGGAAAAAUUUGCCAUGACAGAAGCAAAAUUGGCAUUGUCUAUGAUUUUAGAAUACUUUUCGUUUGAGCUUUCACCAUCCUAUGUUCACGCACCAAUGAAUACUAUAUUUUUUCGGCCUCAGCAUGGUGCUCAGAUGAUCAUAAGACACAGGUCUUGAUGGUAUGAAAUUGGAGCAUAACUUAGUCUAUUGCAAACUAUCAAUAAGAUUUGAAUUUUGUUUUGUGUUUGAUGGAUGAACAUUUAUGCUGAUACCCCCCUUACCCUGAUAGAUUUGAACUUUGUUACAUAUGUGAUUUCAGAGUCAUGUGGACAAUAGAAUGCUGAAUAUUUGUUUGAAGAGUUUAUUAUAAGAGUUUAUUAUGUAACUAGAGAUAUUAGCACUUAAGAAAUAGUGGAAAUAUGUAUUAGAUUCUAAGAUGUUUAUUAUAAGCUUUAAUUGUGAUA